RNAcentral lists this ribosomal RNA (485 nucleotides) under uncultured bacterium. RNAcentral's name for it is "partial 16S ribosomal RNA". It matches the Rfam family "Bacterial small subunit ribosomal RNA", at positions 28 to 523 of the family's 1533-position model. The record is from RNAcentral.
GAUGAACGCUGGUGGCGUGCUUAACACAUGCAAGUCGAACGGUGAACACGGAGCUUGCUCUGUGGGAUCAGUGGCGAACGGGUGAGUAACGCGUGAGCAACCUGCCCCUGACUCUGGGAUAAGCGCUGGAAACGGCGUCUAAUACUGGAUACGAGUAGCGGCCGCAUGGUCAGUUACUGGAAAGAUUUUUUGGUUGGGGAUGGGCUCGCGGCCUAUCAGCUUGGUGGUGAGGUAAUGGCUCACCAAGGCGUCGACGGGUAGCCGGCCUGAGAGGGUGACCGGCCACACUGGGACUGAGACACGGCCCAGACUCCUACGGGAGGCAGCAGUGGGGAAUAUUGCACAAUGGGCGAAAGCCUGAUGCAGCAACGCCGCGUGAGGGAUGACGGCCUUCGGGUUGUAAACCUCUUUUAGCAGGGAAGAAGCGAAAGUGACGGUACCUGCAGAAAAAGCGCCGGCUAACUACGUGCCAGCAGCCGCAGUAA